This 537-nucleotide ribosomal RNA is filed under the name uncultured bacterium. RNAcentral's name for it is "bacterial SSU rRNA". It matches the Rfam family "Archaeal small subunit ribosomal RNA", at positions 726 to 1260 of the family's 1478-position model. The record is from RNAcentral.
AGUCAAUAGAUACCCAGGUAGUCCCAGCUGUAAACGAUGCGCGUUAGGUGUAUCGGUGACCACGAGUCACCGAGGUGCCGAAGGGAAACCGUGAAACGUGCCGCCUGGGAAGUACGGUCGCAAGGCUGAAACUUAAAGGAAUUGGCGGGGGAGCACCACAACAGGUGGAGCCUGCGGUUUAAUCGGACUCAACGCCGGGAAGCUCACCGGAUAAGACAGCUGAAUGAUAGCCGGGUUGAAGACUCUGCUUGACUAGCUGAGAGGAGGUGCAUGGCCGUCGUCAGUUCGUACUGUGAAGCAUCCUGUUAAGUCAGGCAACGAGCGAGACCCACGCCAACAGUUGCCAGCAUGUCCUCCGGGAUGGUGGGGACACUGUUGGGACCGCCUCUGCUAAAGAGGAGGAAGGAAUGGGCAACGGUAGGUCAGCAUGCCCCGAAUUAUCCGGGCUACACGCGGGCUACAAUGGUCAGGACAAUGGGUAUCAACACCGAAAGGUGAAGGCAAUCUCCUAAACCUGUCCUUAGUUCGGAUUGUGGG